UGGACUACUAGGGUUUCUAAUCCUGUUCGCUCCCCACGCUUUCGUGCAUCAGCGUCAGUAAUGGCCCAGUAAGCUGCCUUCGCAAUCGGUGUUCUGUGUAAUAUCUAAGCAUUUCACCGCUACAUUACACAUUCCGCCUACCUUGACCGUACUCAAGACUAACAGUAUCAAUGGCAAGUCUCCAGUUAAGCUGAAGGUUUUCACCACUGACUUAUUAAUCCGCCUACGCACCCUUUAAACCCAAUAAAUCCGGAUAACGCUCGCAUCCUCCGUAUUACCGCGGCUGCUGGCAC
RNAcentral lists this unclassified non-coding RNA (293 nucleotides) under uncultured Bacteroidales bacterium. RNAcentral's name for it is "contains 16S-23S intergenic spacer region". Lineage: Bacteria; Pseudomonadati; Bacteroidota; Bacteroidia; Bacteroidales. The record is from RNAcentral.